Molecule: ribosomal RNA, 408 nt
Filed under: uncultured Planctomycetota bacterium
Lineage: Bacteria; Pseudomonadati; Planctomycetota
Description: bacterial SSU rRNA
Rfam family: Bacterial small subunit ribosomal RNA
Source: RNAcentral
GCUUAGAGAGGGGUCAAUGUCCUAUCAGCUAGUUGGUAAGGUAAUGGCUUACCAAGGCUAAGACGGGUAGCCGGCCUGAGAGGGUGGUCGGCCACACUGGGACUGAGACACUGCCCAGACUCCUACGGGAGGCUGCAGUCGAGAAUCUUUCGCAAUGCCCGAAAGGGUGACGAAGCGACGCCGCGUGUGGGAAGAAGGCCUUCGGGUUGUAAACCACUGUCGGGAGUUAAGAAAUGUAAGGGUGUUAAUAGCAUCCUUACUUGACUAAGGCUCCGGAGGAAGCCACGGCUAACUCUGUGCCAGCAGCCGCGGUAAUACAGAGGCGGCAAGCGUUGUUCGGAAUUAUUGGGCGUAAAGAGCACGUAGGCGGCUUUGUAAGUCAGUUGUGAAAGCCUUCCGCUUAACGGA